This 493-nucleotide ribosomal RNA is filed under the name uncultured bacterium. RNAcentral describes it as "partial 16S ribosomal RNA". It matches the Rfam family "Bacterial small subunit ribosomal RNA", at positions 30 to 523 of the family's 1533-position model. The record is from RNAcentral.
AUUGAACGCUGGCGGCAUGCUUUACACAUGCAAGUCGAACGGUAACAGGUUAAGCUGACGAGUGGCGAACGGGUGAGUAAUGCAUCGGAACGUGCCCGGUCGUGGGGGAUAACGCAGCGAAAGCUGCGCUAAUACCGCAUACGAUCUGAGGAUGAAAGCGGGGGACCGUAAGGCCUCGCGCGAUCGGCGCAGCCGAUGUCAGAUUAGGUAGUUGGUGGGGUACAGGCUCACCAAGCCCACGAUCUGUAGCUGGUCUGAGAGGACGACCAGCCACACUGGGACUGAGACACGGCCCAGACUCCUACGGGAGGCAGCAGUGGGGAAUUUUGGACAAUGGGCGAAAGCCUGAUCCAGCAAUGCCGCGUGCAGGAAGAAGGCCUUCGGGUUGUAAACUGCUUUUGUACGGAGCGAAAAGGUCUCCUCUAAUACGGGGGGCUCAUGACGGUACCGUAAGAAUAAGCACCGGCUAACUACGUGCCAGCAGCCGCCGUAA